AGAGUUUGAUCAUGGCUCAGAGUGAACGCUGGCGGCAGGCCUAACACAUGCAAGUCGAGCGGCAGCGGGUCCUUCGGGAUGCCGGCGAGCGGCGGACGGGUGAGGAAUGCAUCGGAAUCUGCCUCUUUGUGGGGGAUAACGUAGGGAAACUUACGCUAAUACCGCAUACGUCCUACGGGAGAAAGUGGGGGACCUUCGGGCCUCACGCAGAGAGAUGAGCCGAUGCCGGAUUAGCUAGUUGGCGGGGUAAAGGCCCACCAAGGCGACGAUCCGUAGCUGGUCUGAGAGGAUGAUCAGCCACACUGGAACUGAGACACGGUCCAGACUCCUACGGGAGGCAGCAGUGGGGAAUAUUGGACAAUGGGCGCAAGCCUGAUCCAGCCAUGCCGCGUGAGUGAAGAAGGCCUUCGGGUUGUAAAGCUCUUUUGUCCGGAAAGAAAUCCUGUCGGCUAAUACCCGGCGGGGAUGACGGUACCGGAAGAAUAAGCACCGGCUAACUUCGUGCCAGCAGCCGCGGUAAUACGAAGGGUGCAAGCGUUACUCGGAAUUACUGGGCGUAAAGCGUGCGUAGGUGGUUCGUUAAGUCUGAUGUG
Molecule: ribosomal RNA, 593 nt
Filed under: uncultured bacterium
Lineage: Bacteria
Description: bacterial SSU rRNA
Rfam family: Bacterial small subunit ribosomal RNA
Source: RNAcentral